This is a non-coding RNA of Pelobates cultripes (western spadefoot toad), 354 nucleotides long. NCBI's taxonomy places the organism in Eukaryota, Metazoa, Chordata, Amphibia, Anura, Pelobatidae. The record is from the annotation of a GenBank genome assembly.
GGGGAUUGAAAAAAAAAUGUGAGUGUGUUAAUGUGUGUGUGUUUCUGUUAGUGAGUGUGUGUGUCUGUUAGUGAGUGUGUGUGUGUUAGUGAGUGUGUGUGUGUCUGUUAGGAAGUGUGUUACUAUGUGUGUGCCUGUUUGUGAAUGUGUGUGUCUGCUAGUGACUGUGUGUGUCUGUCAGUGAGUGUGUAUGUGUAUUUAUAAGGCGGGGCCAGUUACUAAAGAGGCAUUGCUGGAAAUACUGGCUACUUACCAGUCAUCCCAUGGGGAGGAUUCCCUAAAUGUGAAAGAAGUGGUGCUUGUGAGAUGCAAUGGAGGUUCAGAUGAGUAAGUUGUCAAUCACAUACAUCAUGG